RNAcentral lists this ribosomal RNA (522 nucleotides) under Leptograpsus variegatus. Its description in RNAcentral is "partial 16S ribosomal RNA". It matches the Rfam family "Bacterial large subunit ribosomal RNA", at positions 1819 to 2597 of the family's 2925-position model. Lineage: Eukaryota; Metazoa; Arthropoda; Malacostraca; Decapoda; Grapsidae. The record is from RNAcentral.
GUCUGUUUGAAGAUGUAAACAGUCUAGCCUGCCCACUGAUAAGUAUUAAAGGGCCGCGGUAUUCUGACCGUGCAAAGGUAGCAUAAUCGUUAGUUUCUUAAUUGGGAUCUUGUAUGAAUGGUUGGACAAAAGAAAAUCUGUCUCUAUAGUUGGUCUUGAAUUUAACUUUUAAGUGAAAAGGCUUAAAUAAAUUAAAGGGACGAUAAGACCCUAUAAAGCUUGAUAUUACAUGGUAUUAGACUGAAUUGUAAGUUUAUAAAGGUUUAGUAUCGAAAUUUUAUUAUAUUGGGGCGAUAAAAGUAAAAUGAUUAGUAACUGCUUUAUUUUAAGACAAAAUUAAGUGAUUAAGUAUAACAAAAGAUCCUAGAUAAAGAUUAAAAGAUUAAGUUACUUUAGGGAUAACAGCGUUAUUUUUUUUGAGAGUUCUUAUCGAAAAAAAAGUUUGCGACCUCGAUGUUGAAUUAAAAUUUCUCCACAAUUGCAGGAGUUGUGGAAGAAGGUCUGUUCGACCUUUAAAUUUUU